Molecule: small nuclear RNA, 72 nt
Organism: Dipodomys ordii (Ord's kangaroo rat)
Lineage: Eukaryota; Metazoa; Chordata; Mammalia; Rodentia; Heteromyidae
Source: Ensembl
CAGAUACAGAGAAAAUAAGCAUGGCCCCUGGACAAGGAUGACACAUAAGUUCAUGAGGCUUUCCAUAGGUUU